This is a long non-coding RNA of Cornus florida, 1039 nucleotides long. RefSeq lists it as uncharacterized. The transcript has 5 exons. Lineage: Eukaryota; Viridiplantae; Streptophyta; Magnoliopsida; Cornales; Cornaceae. The record is from RefSeq and is a predicted model, not a curated record.
UCCACCAUAUUUUUUUUAGUAACCAACCCUAGCCGCAGCUCUGAUUCUUUCAUCAUUUUUUUCAUUCGUGUCCAACGUGAAUGUUACUGGUCGAGGAGGAGUCACAACCAACAGCAAUCCGAACCACACCCGGGAGAACUUGAACAAUCUGGACCCAAAAACCCAUUUUCUUCGGUGGAGAAGACAUGUCCGAUUCGUUACCCAAAGCCCUAAUUCUCGAUCUGGGUCCAAACCCAAAACAUAGUUAUCUCCCUUCGGACAUUUUGUCGGUGUUAUCCGUUUCCGGCGUCGGCCCCGGAAAGACCACCAAACCAGCGGAUUUUGGUGGAUUCCAGCAAGGAUGUGAAGGAGGAAAACCGGCAUCUGCGAGCCCGGCCAAAUUAUAUCAGAUAUAAGUUCCAGUUCUAGUUCCAUCACGUGAUACAGUGCAGAGCCCUCUGCAUGCGAUACAAUUCCCUGUCUAUCUCAAGGAUCUUAAGGUGCAACACUUACAAGAUUUGUAAUACUAAUCCACAAGAGACCAGUGACUCAAAGGAGAUUUUCUAUAUGGAUCCUUUGGAAAAGAAUACAACUAAUAAUAAUCUGAAUCACUGGCCUUCAGAAGAACAAGGUUUGCAACUUCUAGAUGAUGUCAAUUUUGCUCCCUCAGGGCUGUUGGACAAAGCUUAGUCUCUUUACUUGCUUUGAACUUGGAUGGAGACUUCUUUGAGAAACUGGCCGGGGGCUUUCAAUCCACCAUAUGCAUUUCUUCGGUUGAUACACUAUCCAGAAAAGCAUAAAAGAUCUUCAAGCUAGUAGUUGAAGUUGAAGAUGAAGCUAGAAAAAAGAAGGUUUGAAGAUGGGGUCGUGGUUGUUUUUUUGAAUUUCCUUGGCCGAUGUAAAAACUUCUAGUACAUUUUGAUGGGUUCUUUUGAGGAAACUUGCGGUUGUUUUCACUACUUUUGUGAAAAAUUCUUUUCAUUGUGUAUACUUUUUUUUGUAAAAACUUGGUGUUCACUACAGCUUUAUUUAUUAGUAAACAAUUUGGAUGGUAUUUUCA